This 497-nucleotide ribosomal RNA is filed under the name uncultured bacterium. Its description in RNAcentral is "partial 16S ribosomal RNA". It matches the Rfam family "Bacterial small subunit ribosomal RNA", at positions 28 to 507 of the family's 1533-position model. The record is from RNAcentral.
GAUGAACGCUGGCGGCGUGCCUAAUACAUGCAAGUCGAGCGAACAGACGAGGAGCUUGCUCCUUUGACGUUAGCGGCGGACGGGUGAGUAACACGUGGAUAACCUACCUAUAAGACUGGGAUAACUUCGGGAAACCGGAGCUAAUACCGGAUAAUAUAUUGAACCGCAUGGUUCAAUAGUGAAAGACGGCUUUGCUGUCACUUAUAGAUGGAUCCGCGCCGUAUUAGCUAGUUGGUAAGGUAACGGCUUACCAAGGCAACGAUGCGUAGCCGACCUGAGAGGGUGAUCGGCCACACUGGAACUGAGACAAGGUCCAGACUCCUAAGGGAGGGAGAAGUAGGGAAUUUUCCGCAAUGGGCGAAAGCCUGAAGGAGCCAAGCCGCGUGAGUGAUGAAGGUCUUCGGAUCGGAAAACUCUGUUAUUAGGGAAGAACAAAUGUGUAAGUAACUAUGCACGUCUUGACGGUACCUAAUAAGAAAGCCACGGCUAACUACGUG